ACUUCUGUAAAUCUUAUGUUUUAG
Molecule: non-coding RNA, 24 nt
Filed under: Cricetulus griseus (Chinese hamster)
Lineage: Eukaryota; Metazoa; Chordata; Mammalia; Rodentia; Cricetidae
Source: RNAcentral